ACGGGCCCCGCACAAGCAGCGGAGCGUGUGGUUAAUUCGAUGUUACACGAAGAACCUUACCAGGGUUUGACAUGCAAGUGGUAGGAAGCCGAAAGGUGACCGACCCUUCGGGGAGCUUGCACAGGUGCUGCAUGGCUGUCGUCAGCUCGUGUCGUGAGAUGUUCGGUUAAGUCCGCUAACGAGCGCAACCCUCGCUGUGUGUUAUAUGUGUCACACGGGACUGCCGGUCUUAAGCCGGAGGAAGGUGGGGAUGAUGUCAAGUCAGCAUGGCCUUUAUAUCCUGGGCUACACACACGCUACAAUGGCCAACACAAUAGGUUGCUAAGCCGCGAGGUGGCGCCAAUCCAUAAAGUUGGUCUCAGUUCAGAUUGUAGGCUGCAACCCGCCUGCAUGAAGAUGGAGUUGCUAGUAACCGCAGGUCAGCUAUACUGCGGUGAAUACGUUCCCGGGGCUU
RNAcentral lists this ribosomal RNA (454 nucleotides) under uncultured Leptolinea sp. RNAcentral describes it as "bacterial SSU rRNA". It matches the Rfam family "Bacterial small subunit ribosomal RNA", at positions 916 to 1381 of the family's 1533-position model. Lineage: Bacteria; Bacillati; Chloroflexota; Anaerolineae; Anaerolineales; Anaerolineaceae. The record is from RNAcentral.